CCUACGGGUGGCAGCAGUAGGGAAUAUUGCUCAAUGGGGGAAACCCUGAAGCAGCAACGCCGCGUGCAGGAGGAAGGUUUUCGGAUUUUAAACUCCUUUUGUUAGAGAAGAAAAUGACGGUAUCUAACGAAUAAGCACCGGCUAACUCCGUGCCAGCAGCCGCGGUAAUACGGAGGGUGCAAGCGUUACUCGGAAUCACUGGGCGUAAAGAGUGCGUAGGCGGGAUAGCAAGUCAGAUGUGAAAUGCUAUGGCUUAACCAUAGAACUGCAUUUGAUACUGUUAAUCUAGAGUGUGGGAGAGGUAGGUGGAAUUCUUGGUGUAGGGGUGAAAUGCGUAGAGAUCAAGAGGAAUACUGAUUGCGAAGGCGACUUGCUAGAACAUAACUGACGCUGAGGCGCGAAAGCGUGGGGAGCAAACAGGAUUAGAUACCCGAGUAGUC
This 440-nucleotide ribosomal RNA is filed under the name uncultured bacterium. RNAcentral's name for it is "partial 16S ribosomal RNA". It matches the Rfam family "Bacterial small subunit ribosomal RNA", at positions 338 to 795 of the family's 1533-position model. The record is from RNAcentral.